AUGAUAGAAACUAGAAAUUGGAAUUUUGGAAUAAUAUGGACUGUGCUCUGUGUUUUCUUUAAUUGGUUAUUUGCAGUCCUUCUGGUUCUUCAAGCAUCUUUAUGCAUCUUUGCUACUGAAACAACAGAGGAGUCUGCUGAACGAAACUGCCACAAGGAGUGUAAGAACACAAAAGGGAGAGAUUGCCAUCCGUUCCUCCAGAUGAGCCUCCGUCUGCCUGCCCGCUCCUGAAGGAAAUAGCAAUCAUGACUGAAACAUUCUGAUGGCUGUGGAAAACACAUUUGCUGAAGUAUAAAAUAGAAAAGAGAAGUGAAAAAUAGAACUGGAAAGUAAGUCAUGGAACAUGGUAUGUAUCACUGAACUACAAUGAAUGAGACAGAUGCAUACUGAUGCUCAUCUGUGGCUCACACUGACUAUUUACCUACUGUUCUGACAGAGCAGAUAGUCACAGUCAGAACAGAGCUGGCCAGAUCUGAAGAAACUGUGGCCUGGAAGUCAUACUUUAUUACCACAAGCUCAUGUAUCUCGCCUCUCUACAAGGCUGAUUAGGUUGGGCUCAGCAUCUGAUUCUCAACUCAGCACAGACAUAGAGACUUCAGGGCACGUUCAGUAGCAAAACUUUGAAUGUUUGGAUGAGUUUUCUUGUAAAUGGUUAUGCAUCCCUAGUGCUUACCAUUUUUGGAAGGGCUUUCUUGAUUUCUCUGUUCGACAUAUGCACCUAAAUCCACCUAAUUUGUACUUUCAUUGCUCAGUACUGCUUGGUUUUUAUCUAUAGGAACUUGUUUAUAGCCUUUAACUACCCUGUAUGUCAUUUGGAGCAUAAGAAUAUAGUUUUGGGCUUGUAAAAUAUGUCUAUAGCACAUAACGCAGCCCAUGAAGUAAUUCUUGACCUUGCUUUGAACGAGCUACAUCUGGAACUUGAAUCACCGUAACUGAGUCAGUAACAGCCAUUAGAGUACUCAGCUAGGACAUCAGUUCCCUCCUAAGUGUUUCCCAGGAUCAAAAUCUGCAGUGUUAAUUUCUCUCUAUGAUUUUGAAACCAAGUAAUAGUAUGGCUAUUUUCCAACUAUGUUUCAGCUACUGUGGUGUCUUAAAAACAAAACAAAACAAAACAAAACAAAAAAACAGAGCUGAUACUAGAAAAUCAAAUUCAUUAAUUUGUACGAGGUUCAAUUAUUUACAUUAUAUUUGAGUUUUUCUGAACUGCUAAUGCCAUACAAGCAUUAAUGAC
RNAcentral lists this long non-coding RNA (1231 nucleotides) under Anser cygnoides (Swan goose). RNAcentral's name for it is "lncRNA (ENSACDG00005009704.1)". The record is from RNAcentral. Lineage: Eukaryota; Metazoa; Chordata; Aves; Anseriformes; Anatidae.